This 253-nucleotide ribosomal RNA is filed under the name uncultured bacterium. Its description in RNAcentral is "partial 16S ribosomal RNA". It matches the Rfam family "Bacterial small subunit ribosomal RNA", at positions 524 to 776 of the family's 1533-position model. The record is from RNAcentral.
UACGUAGGGCGCAAGCGUUAUCCGGAAUUAUUGGGCGUAAAGAGCUCGUAGGCGGUUUGUCGCGUCUGCCGUGAAAGUCCGGGGCUCAACUCCGGAUCUGCGGUGGGUACGGGCAGACUAGAGUGAUGUAGGGGAGACUGGAAUUCCUGGUGUAGCGGUGAAAUGCGCAGAUAUCAGGAGGAACACCGGUGGCGAAGGCGGGUCUCUGGGCCGAUACUGACACUGAGGAGCGAAAGCGUGGGGAGCAAACAGG